GUGCCAGCAGCCGCGGUAAGACAGAGGGUGCAAACGUUGUUCGGAAUCACUGGGCGUAAAGCGCGUGUAGGCUGCUGCGCAAGUCGGAUGUGAAAUCCCACGGCUCAACCAUGGAAGUGCAUUCGAAACUGCGUAGCUAGAGUUUUGGAGAGGAAGGCGGAAUACUCGGUGUAGAGGUGAAAUUCGUAGAUAUCGAGUGGAACACCGGUGGCGAAGGCGGCCUUCUGGACAAUGACUGACGCUGAAACGCGAAAGCGUGGGGAGCAAACAGGAUUAGAUACCCGAGUAGUCC
This 292-nucleotide ribosomal RNA is filed under the name uncultured bacterium. RNAcentral's name for it is "partial 16S ribosomal RNA". It matches the Rfam family "Bacterial small subunit ribosomal RNA", at positions 505 to 796 of the family's 1533-position model. The record is from RNAcentral.